RNAcentral lists this unclassified non-coding RNA (305 nucleotides) under plant metagenome. RNAcentral describes it as "partial contains 5.8S ribosomal RNA, internal transcribed spacer 2, and large subunit ribosomal RNA". The stretch from base 1 to 105 matches the Rfam family "5.8S ribosomal RNA", at positions 50 to 154 of the family's 154-position model. The record is from RNAcentral.
GAAAUGCGAUAAGUAAUGUGAAUUGCAGAAUUCAGUGAAUCAUCGAAUCUUUGAACGCACAUUGCGCCCGCCAGUAUUCUGGCGGGCAUGACUGUUCGAGCGUCAUUUCAACCAUCAAGCCCCCGGCUUGUGUUGGGGACCUGCGGCUGCCCGCAGGCCCUGAAAAACAGUGGCGGGCUCGCUGUCACACCGAGCGUAGUAGCAUACAUUCUCGCUCAGGGCGUGCUGCGGGUUCCGGCCGUUAAACGACCUUCAUAACCCAAGGUUGACCUCGGAUCAGGUAGGAAGACCCGCUGAACUUAAGC